This 1405-nucleotide long non-coding RNA is filed under the name Pan troglodytes (chimpanzee). Its description in RNAcentral is "long non-coding RNA NONPTRT011748". The record is from RNAcentral. Lineage: Eukaryota; Metazoa; Chordata; Mammalia; Primates; Hominidae.
GGGAGCUGUCUCUGAGAACCUGCGGGAGAGCGCCCGGGCUUGCUGCUUCCCGGACCCGCGCGUCUCUCGAGCACCCUCGUCCCACCACCUUGUGAGGCCGUAGUGUUAUUUUUAUUUUUUAGAUCAGCAGACUGAGACUCGAGGUGACGUCACUCCGCAGAGAGGUUAGCUGCCUUGAAGAAAACGGAUAUCUCCUCUUUCCGUUUCGCCCGUAUAAACAGCCGAACUGCCUAUUAUAAAAGCAUGGACUGCCAGCAUUGGCGUGGUCGUUAGAGGCCUAUUAUGAAAUCAUAGAAUGUCUGCAUUGGAAUCGCCUCACCUCCUUUUACCGCUGGAGAAGCCGACGGACAGACGGGCAGCGACCCCCGCCGUCGCACAACCCGUCUAGGCAGAGAGCGCGGGAGACGGGAGGGCGGCAGGGACACAUCUCCCAGCCAAGGACCUCCUGGGCCCGCAGAGGCCGCGACAGGUUCCCCCCACAGAGGGAACCAACUCUGCCGCAGGUUGAUGUGGACUUCAAGCCUGCAGAACGGAGAGCCCAUUUCCAUUGCUUAAAGCCACCUCGUGUGUGGUUAGAGCACAGCAGACUGAGCCACCCAGAACUGGCCCCUCCGGUGGACCAGCCCCUGCGGAUUCACAGACCACUGGGCCUGGAAGGGACCUUGUCAAGCAGGCCCAUAAGGUAAUCCCUCCCCGGAAAGAGAAGAUCACAGAUUUUGUCGUAUUAAAUACAUUGUAGAAAUUCAUGGUAGCAGGGGCAAGAUCAUUUAAACAAAACAGAAAGUUUCAGAGAGAGAAAAAGCCAAGGGCAAAGAUUAAUCAUUUUUCUGCUUAAAAAAAAUGGCUUUGAUUUGCAACCAUGGAAUGCUCCACUGUUUCUCUUCUCUUCAAAGACAUCUACUGGAAGGAUUCCUUAACCUUACCAAGUGGCCAAAAUACUUUUCUGAGAAGAGUCACAGAGCAUAGGCCCCCCUAGGGUACACAGAGAUUUCAUUAGUCCCUAGAUGUUUCCUGAUCCUUUUAAAAACUGGUUAAAUUCAGAGACUCUAGGCAAUUACUUCUUUCAGAACCUGUGAGGCAAAAACGAAAGAAGAAGGCAGGACACGCAGUGUAACAAACCUUGGAAUGGACUUCGCCAGACUUCAUCAGAAGAAAGCAGUGCGAGAGGGGACUGCAGAGGAAAGCUGGGGCUUGGGAAACCAGCAGCAGGGGCCACGUGGGCAGGUGGUUUCUGUGUGAACCUCUGAUCUGUGCAACAUAAACAGGAAAUGUUGAAGGCUUCCAGUGCUCUUUUUUGAUGUCGAGAACAUUCUACGGUACAAAAGAGUUUGCCUCUCACUGUUUCUCAUAUAUGGAGGUUUUCUAAUCAGCAUCCUGAACAGAAUUGAAUUAAAAAUAAAACCAA